AGAAUCAACGCUGGCGGCGUGCCUAACACAUGCAAGUCGAACGAGAAAGUGGAGCAAUCCAUGAGUAAAGUGGCGACCGGGUGAGUAACACGUGACUAACCUACCUUCGAGUGGGGGAUAACCUCGGGAAACCGGGGCUAAUACCGCAUAACAUCCUUGAAGUGGAAAUUUCGGAGAUCAAAGGAGCAAUUCGCUGGAAGAGGGGGUCGCGGCUGAUUAGCUAGUUGGCGGGGUAACGGCCCACCAAGGCUUAGAUCGGUAGCCGGCCUGAGAGGGCGCACGGCCACACUGGAACUGAAACACGGUCCAGACUCCUACGGGAGGCAGCAGUGGGGAAUUUUGCGCAAUGGGGGAAACCCUGACGCAGCAACGCCGCGUGGAGGAUGAAGUCCCGUUGGGACGUAAACUCCUUUCGACCCGGACGAUAAUGACGGUACGGGUGGAAGAAGCCCGGCUAACUCGUGCCAGCAGCCGC
RNAcentral lists this ribosomal RNA (475 nucleotides) under uncultured bacterium. Its description in RNAcentral is "SSU rRNA". It matches the Rfam family "Bacterial small subunit ribosomal RNA", at positions 26 to 518 of the family's 1533-position model. The record is from RNAcentral.